Antechinus flavipes (yellow-footed antechinus) is the source of this 414-nucleotide long non-coding RNA. RefSeq lists it as uncharacterized. Lineage: Eukaryota; Metazoa; Chordata; Mammalia; Dasyuromorphia; Dasyuridae. The transcript has 3 exons. The record is from RefSeq and is a predicted model, not a curated record.
UUGAAAAAAAAAGUCUGUUUAACACUGCUUUUGGUUUUUUAGCAGAAGCAACAAGAUAUUUCUACGACAUUUUAGAGUGGAUAAGAUAACUGAGAACAACCCAACAGGAGUAGGAUAGAAUCUAAAACAGAAGCUGCCUAUAUGUGGAGCCCAACCCACCCAUUCAGUUCAGAAAGAAAAGGGCUGGGUUUAAACGAGUUAGAAGACUGUCUCUGACACUUGCUGCUGUGAAGAACUUUGGGCAAGUUACUUAAAUUCUCCAGGCCUUAGGUUCCUCACCUGUGAAUGAAGAAACUGAACUAACUGGCUUGUAAGAAGAGCAGGGAGGCAGUAACGCUGGAGAGCACUGGCCAAAGAAAGUAUACCUGGAUCUGCUGCCUGAGAAUGAGCUGUGUCUAGAAGACCGACUAGAAU